CGGCCCUCCACCCUCCACCCUCCGUCCCAACGCACACACCACAGGCAUCUCUGGAGCUGCCUUGCCAGAAGGGAGGAUUAGGUUGCAUAGAACCAUUUUCAUUCUCAGACCUAGAAUGAUUUGGGGUGCAUCCAGGAGUCCAGCUUCUUGCCUGCUUCCCACCAGCAGGCCAGCCACAAGAUCUGACCCCCCGAGGCUCAGUAUGGCAUCCUCACGUGAUCCAGUGCAUCAUAUGCACAUCAGGGACCUGCCCAGCACCUGCUGUGUCUCCAGAAACAGUCCUGAAGAGCCGUAGUCAUGGUCCAUUUUUGCAUCUGUGGCCUGUCUACCUGAGGAAGAGGCUGGGCCUGGAGCUGUGACUGAGGCUAAGUGCGCAACACCCGCUUUUUAAAAAAACAGUCCUGGAAUAGGCUGCUUGCUUCAACUCUGCACAGCCUCCUGCUCUGGGAAAUACAGAAUUAAUUGAAUGACAUGUGCAGCGAUUACGGGAAGGAGAUGGGUGGGGGAGGACUGUCUGUGGAUCCUGCCAAGGAGACUAGGAAUUAAUUCAACCUGUCACUUUAUACUGAGCUCCCUUAGCAGGUGUCCAUGGAGCAGUCACCCCAUCUAUGCUGAAUACAGUACCUCACAGCCUGAGCAUACACUUGGCAGAGCCAACCAGGGCCUCUGGGAGGCCCACAGAGAGGCUGUGGCACUAGGGCAGGACAGGCACAACUGUAGCCGCAAGUGCUGUUCCAUUCCAUCCCAUUGCAUUCAGUCCCAUGUUAGCUCACCACCUACCAGGUACUGGAAAUGUGCCAAGGUUGAAAGUAACAUGAUCUUCUAGCUGAAGAAACUCACUGCAGAGCAGGGAAGGCAUCCGGCUAUACACAGAGCAUUUCUAGACUGAAUAAGAAUCCCGAGUUCAAACAUACUGCAAGCUCUGGUGAGAACAGGGAACAUCCACACUCUCUUAUUCAUACUUGUAAUCUCAGUGCCUGACACAGAGACCCACCAGAACAGAGUAAGUGCCUAAUAACAUGUUUUUUGAACAAGUAAAUGAACAAAUGCCCCGAUGACCUAAGUUGGACUAGCAAGAUUGCUGGAGCUCUGUGAGGAGUUAGGAUUCAACAUGUUCUCUGCUGAUCAUCCCUCUCCUCAGACCCCUGGGUUUCCUCUUAGGAGGUCUUCCUUUCCUCCCCAAAUGUACCCCUCCAAAUCUGAGCUCUGCAAUUUUGCUUUCAAUGAACGAUUUUAUGUCCCCCAAGCCCAAGUUGCCAAAGGUACUAAUAUUAGCAGAUCAGAGUCAGCACAGAGGUGCUUUAAGAUGCUUAGCCUGGCUGGGGAGCCCUAGACAGAGCUGGAUGUAUUUUUAGCUCUUCGGGUAUCUGGAAAGGUAUUGAGAUGCAGUCGUUGUUACAGACACCCGGGCCUAUCAGUAUUCUGCUACUGGCCUCCCCACACCAGCAGUUUCCAUUCAGUGUCUCAAAAGCAGGGGUUGCCAUGGAGAUUGAGUGCCAGGACAACCGAACUUCCUGUCAGGAAAUAACGGCACAGGUAGAGCUCUGGACCAAUGGGAAUCGAGGAGCUUCUUGGAUGACCACAGCUUCCUCUCCUAAAGCCAAAUGAUGGCAGAAUUCCCUGAUGCCCUUGGAAGGGGUCAGCCUGACAACAGAGGACAUUGUCUCUAGAGCUUCAUUCUGGGAGGGAUCGACUAUUGCUCCCUCACACCUGCCAUGGACUGGUUUAUUUCUCUCCCCGUUUCUUUCUUCUCCAGAAGGCUUUGGCUGCCCACAGAGUCCAGAAGCUGCUGGGGAGAGAAAGACAGAAGGGUCAUUUUGUAUCAGAAGCCAGUCCUGGCAAAUACACAGAAUACGAGCUCUGGCCCAGGCUGGGGAAGGCCAGGUCACCUAAGUCCUAGAGCCAUUAGAAUUACGGAGACUCCCUCUUCUGGGUAGCACAGUACAGAAUUACCUUAUUUUUUUCCUUGCUGUUUCCUGUGUACCUGGUAGGUAAAAAAAAAAAAAAAGAUGAAAAAUAAAACCUCCAAGAGGUCAUGGUGACCACCUAUAGUGACAAAGCUGGUAAGAGGUGAAAGUGUUAGAACACCCAGGUCUGUCUAGUCCAUAGACUCAGAGGGUAAGACCCAAGAAGCUCUUAGAGAGUGUUUACUCUGACACACUUCACAGAAAAUCAACUGAGGCCCAGAAAGAGCGUGUGACUUGGUCCCUGAGGGAGCAGGUGAUGGAGCAGGACCAGGAUUCUUCUGGGCACUUUUUUUUUUUUA
Molecule: long non-coding RNA, 2266 nt
Filed under: Marmota monax (woodchuck)
Lineage: Eukaryota; Metazoa; Chordata; Mammalia; Rodentia; Sciuridae
Source: RNAcentral